RNAcentral lists this small RNA (29 nucleotides) under Bombyx mori (domestic silkworm). Its description in RNAcentral is "ovarian small RNA-29840". The record is from RNAcentral. Lineage: Eukaryota; Metazoa; Arthropoda; Insecta; Lepidoptera; Bombycidae.
UCUCUGAUGAGGCUGUCGGCCGGGGUGGG